RNAcentral lists this ribosomal RNA (1435 nucleotides) under uncultured bacterium. Its description in RNAcentral is "bacterial SSU rRNA". It matches the Rfam family "Bacterial small subunit ribosomal RNA". The record is from RNAcentral.
AGAGUUUGAUCUCUGGCUCAGGAUGAACGCCGGCGGUGUGCCUAAUACAUGCAAGUCGUACGCACUGGCCCAACUGAUUGAUGGUGCUUGCACCUGAUUGACGAUGGAUCACCAGUGAGUGGCGGACGGGUGAGUAACACGUAGGUAACCUGCCUCGGAGCGGGGGAUAACAUUUGGAAACAGAUGCUAAUACCGCAUAACAACAAAAGCCACAUGGCUUUUGUUUGAAAGAUGGCUUUGGCUAUCACUCUGGGAUGGACCUGCGGUGCAUUAGCUAGUUGGUAAGGUAACGGCUUACCAAGGCAAUGAUGCAUAGCCGAGUUGAGAGACUGAUCGGCCACAAUGGAACUGAGACACGGUCCAUACUCCUACGGGAGGCAGCAGUAGGGAAUCUUCCACAAUGGGCGCAAGCCUGAUGGAGCAACACCGCGUGAGUGAAGAAGGGUUUCGGCUCGUAAAGCUCUGUUGUUGGAGAAGAACGUGCGUGAGAGUAACUGUUCACGCAGUGACGGUAUCCAACCAGAAAGUCACGGCUAACUACGUGCCAGCAGCCGCGGUAAUACGUAGGUGGCAAGCGUUAUCCGGAUUUAUUGGGCGUAAAGCGAGCGCAGGCGGUUGCUUAGGUCUGAUGUGAAAGCCUUCGGCUUAACCGAAGAAGUGCAUCGGAAACCGGGCGACUUGAGUGCAGAAGAGGACAGUGGAACUCCAUGUGUAGCGGUGGAAUGCGUAGAUAUAUGGAAGAACACCAGUGGCGAAGGCGGCUGUCUGGUCUGCAACUGACGCUGAGGCUCGAAAGCAUGGGUAGCGAACAGGAUUAGAUACCCUGGUAGUCCAUGCCGUAAACGAUGAGUGCUAGGUAUUGGAGGGUUUCCGCCCUUCAGUGCCGGAGCUAACGCAUUAAGCACUCCGCCUGGGGAGUACGACCGCAAGGUUGAAACUCAAAGGAAUUGACGGGGGCCCGCACAAGCGGUGGAGCAUGUGGUUUAAUUCGAAGCUACGCGAAGAACCUUACCAGGUCUUGACAUCUUGCGCUAACCUUAGAGAUAAGGCGUUCCCUUCGGGGACGCAAUGACAGGUGGUGCAUGGUCGUCGUCAGCUCGUGUCGUGAGAUGUUGGGUUAAGUCCCGCAACGAGCGCAACCCUUGUUACUAGUUGCCAGCAUUAAGUUGGGCACUCUAGUGAGACUGCCGGUGACAAACCGGAGGAAGGUGGGGACGACGUCAGAUCAUCAUGCCCCUUAUGACCUGGGCUACACACGUGCUACAAUGGACGGUACAACGAGUCGCAAGCUCGCGAGAGUAAGCUAAUCUCUUAAAGCCGUUCUCAGUUCGGACUGUAGGCUGCAACUCGCCUACACGAAGUCGGAAUCGCUAGUAAUCGCGGAUCAGCAUGCCGCGGUGAAUACGUUCCCGGGCCUUGCACUCACCGCCCGUCA